CCUACGGGGGGCAGCAGUGGGGAAUAUUGGACAAUGGGUGAAAGCCUGAUCCAGCCAUGCCGCGUGUGUGAAGAAGGCCUUCGGGUUGUAAAGCACUUUCAGUGGGGAAGAAAGCCUUGGGGCUAAUACCCUCGAGGAAGGACAUCACCCACAGAAGAAGCACCGGCUAACUCCGUGCCAGCAGCCGCGGUAAUACGGAGGGUGCGAGCGUUAAUCGGAAUUACUGGGCGUAAAGCGCGCGUAGGCGGUCUGAUAAGCCGGUUGUGAAAGCCCCGGGCUCAACCUGGGAACGGCAUCCGGAACUGUCAGGCUAGAGUGCAGGAGAGGAAGGUAGAAUUCCCGGUGUAGCGGUGAAAUGCGUAGAGAUCGGGAGGAAUACCAGUGGCGAAGGCGGCCUUCUGGACUGACACUGACGCUGAGGUGCGAAAGCGUGGGUAGCAAACAGGAUUAGAUACCCGAGUAGUC
This 465-nucleotide ribosomal RNA is filed under the name Vreelandella stevensii. RNAcentral's name for it is "partial 16S ribosomal RNA". It matches the Rfam family "Bacterial small subunit ribosomal RNA", at positions 338 to 795 of the family's 1533-position model. Lineage: Bacteria; Pseudomonadati; Pseudomonadota; Gammaproteobacteria; Oceanospirillales; Halomonadaceae. The record is from RNAcentral.